This 465-nucleotide ribosomal RNA is filed under the name uncultured bacterium. Its description in RNAcentral is "partial 16S ribosomal RNA". It matches the Rfam family "Bacterial small subunit ribosomal RNA", at positions 338 to 795 of the family's 1533-position model. The record is from RNAcentral.
CCUACGGGAGGCAGCAGUGGGGAAUAUUGCUCAAUGGGCGAAAGCCUGACGCAGCGACGCCGCGUGAGGGAUGAAGGUCUUCGGAUCGUAAACCUCUGUCAGCAGGGAAGAACGGUCACUGUGCUAAUCAGCAGUGAAUUGACGUUACCUUCAAAGGAAGCACCGGCUAACUCCGUACCAGCAGCCGCGGUAAGACGGAGGGUGCGAGCGUUAAUCGGAUUUACUGGGCGUAAGGCGCUCGUAGGCGGUAGGUCAAGUCAAGGGUGAAAUCCCCGCGCUAAACGUGGGAAGUGCCUUUGAAACUGGCAAACUGGAGUGUGUGAGAGGAGAGUGGAAUUCCAGGUGUAGGAGUGAAAUCCGUAGAUAUCUGGAGGAACAUCAGUGGCGAAGGCGACUAUCUGGCACAUAACUGACGCUGAGGAGCGAAAGCGUGGGUAGCAAACAGGAUUAGAUACCCUAGUAGUC